AUUGAACGCUGGCGGCAUGCCUUACACAUGCAAGUCGAACGGCAGCACGGGUGCUUGCACCUGGUGGCGAGUGGCGAACGGGUGAGUAAUACAUCGGAACAUGUCCUGUAGUGGGGGAUAGCCCGGCGAAAGCCGGAUUAAUACCGCAUACGAUCUACGGAUGAAAGCGGGGGACCUUCGGGCCUCGCGCUAUAGGGUUGGCCGAUGGCUGAUUAGCUAGUUGGUGGGGUAAAGGCCUACCAAGGCGACGAUCAGUAGCUGGUCUGAGAGGAUGACCAGCCACACUGGGACUGAGACACGGCCCAGACUCCUACGGGAGGCAGCAGUGGGGAAUUUUGGACAAUGGGCGAAAGCCUGAUCCAGCAAUGCCGCGUGUGUGAAGAAGGCCUUCGGGUUGUAAAGCACUUUUGUCCGGAAAGAAAUCCUUGGCUCUAAUACAGUCGGGGGAUGACGGUACCGGAAGAAUAAGCACCGGCUAACUACGUG
This 486-nucleotide ribosomal RNA is filed under the name uncultured bacterium. RNAcentral describes it as "partial 16S ribosomal RNA". It matches the Rfam family "Bacterial small subunit ribosomal RNA", at positions 30 to 507 of the family's 1533-position model. The record is from RNAcentral.